Molecule: non-coding RNA, 156 nt
Filed under: uncultured Duncaniella sp.
Lineage: Bacteria; Pseudomonadati; Bacteroidota; Bacteroidia; Bacteroidales; Muribaculaceae
Source: RNAcentral
AAAAUGCCGGGGUAAAAGGAAAUCGGGUGAAAAUCCCGAGCAGAGCCGCUGCCGUGAGUUUCCGAUAAGACCGUUUCAUCAAUGCCACUGCCGGUAAUCAUACGGUGGGAAGGCGAAACGGGACAGGAAUGAGCCGGAAAGCCUGCCAUAGCUGUU